Molecule: ribosomal RNA, 440 nt
Filed under: uncultured bacterium
Lineage: Bacteria
Description: partial 16S ribosomal RNA
Rfam family: Bacterial small subunit ribosomal RNA
Source: RNAcentral
CUACGGGCCGCAGCAGUGAGGAAUAUUGCACAAUGGGGGGAACCCUGAUGCAGCAACGCCGCGUGGAGGAUGACGCAUUUCGGUGUGUAAACUCCUUUUAUAUGUCAAGAAAAUGACGGUAGCAUAUGAAUAAGCACCGGCUAACUCCGUGCCAGCAGGCCGCGGUAAUACGGAGGGUGCAAGCGUUACUCGGAAUCACUGGGCGUAAAGGACGCGUAGGCGGGUUGGAAAGUCAGGUGUGAAAUCCUACAGCUUAACUGUAGAACUGCACUUGAAACUUCUAAUCUAGAGUGUGGGAGGGGGAGAUGGAAUUAGUGGUGUAGGGGUAAAAUCCGUAGAUAUCACUAGGAAUACCUAAAGCGAAGGCGAUCUCCUGGAACAUUACUGACGCUAAGGCGUGAAAGCGUGGGGAGCAAACAGGAUUAGAUACCCCCGUAGUC